UUAGCACAGUGGCUGAGCAUUCAGCUGCUAACUGAAAGGUCAGUGGUUCAAACCCACCA
This 59-nucleotide transfer RNA is filed under the name Loxodonta africana (African savanna elephant). It matches the Rfam family "tRNA", at positions 7 to 64 of the family's 71-position model. Rfam says of the family: Transfer RNA (tRNA) molecules are approximately 80 nucleotides in length. Their secondary structure includes four short double-helical elements and three loops (D, anti-codon, and T loops). Lineage: Eukaryota; Metazoa; Chordata; Mammalia; Proboscidea; Elephantidae. The record is from Rfam by way of RNAcentral.